This 128-nucleotide small nucleolar RNA is filed under the name Carlito syrichta (Philippine tarsier). RNAcentral describes it as "Small nucleolar RNA SNORA11 (ENSTSYG00000021397.2)". It matches the Rfam family "Small nucleolar RNA SNORA11". From Rfam's summary of the family: U107 (SNORA11) is a member of the H/ACA class of snoRNAs that guide the sites of modification of uridines to pseudouridines. This snoRNA was identified by RT-PCR from blood cells and its expression confirmed by Northern blot analysis. There is no predicted target for this guide snRNA. Lineage: Eukaryota; Metazoa; Chordata; Mammalia; Primates; Tarsiidae. The record is from Rfam by way of RNAcentral.
GGGGUCUGCUCUGAGUAGGGGGCCUCAAGAGUGACUCCUCUUUUCACCACAUAGCUACAGGAAUCUGGGUUUGCUCCUCACAGGUGGCAGGAUACUUUGGCCUUCCUGUGACAUCAUGUCCUAUACAU